CAGUCGCCGCGGUAAUACGGAGGGUGCGAGCGUUAAUCGGAAUUACUGGGCGUAAAGCGUACGCAGGCGGUUUGUUAAGUCAGAUGUGAAAUCCCCGGGCUUAACCCGGGAACUGCAUUUGAAACUGGCAGGCUAGAGUCUCGUAGAGGGGGGUAGAAUUCCAGGUGUAGCGGUGAAAUGCGUAGAGAUCUGGAGGAAUACCGGUGGCGAAGGCGGCCCCCUGGACGAAGACUGACGCUCAGGUACGAAAGCGUGGGGAGCAAACAGGAUUAGAUACCCCAGUAGUCCCUGUCUCUUAUAC
Molecule: ribosomal RNA, 301 nt
Filed under: uncultured bacterium
Lineage: Bacteria
Description: partial 16S ribosomal RNA
Rfam family: Bacterial small subunit ribosomal RNA
Source: RNAcentral